UUUUCCGCAGGAAUAUAGUCUUCUGUCUUCAGAGCAUGGGGAGAUUUGUCGUGGCAGAUGUUCAUUUUAAGAAAACCCAAUUCACACUCAGCAAUACGAAACCUUCACUGAAAAACAUCAGGGAGAGAUGAUUCUUGCAUAAAUGGAUCGUUUGCAGGAAUCUUAUACGAACUAAAGUUCUCUGGGCAAAGACGAGAUUUACAAAAACUCAACUGUCAACUCGCCUGGAACAUAGUCAUUCCAUAAACAGGGCUGUUUAUGACAUUUUACGCCAGGUCUGUCUCUCUCUCUCACACACACAGGGAUGUGUGGCUUAACAGGCCUAGGGGUUUCAACGACGACUGUCGCCCCGACACGCUUCUGUCCUUAGAAGGGUGACAGGUCGGAGCACACACAGGCAGUUCCCUGCUUCUGGACACUGACCUUCUCUUACCUCAUACACUGAUGACCCAGGCCGCCCUGCCAGGCCCGAGCUGAGCACAGGAGCCAGCUGCAGCCACAGAAGCACUUCCUGCCGGCUGAGACGGCCCCAAGAGGGACGGAGGGGGGCCAGGGGGCUCAGCUUGGCUUCUGUGCUUGUGCUUACCGGUGCACUUUAUUUCCUAACAUACUGGUUUUUCCCAUCUCUCAGAAAAAUGGAUGGAAAAUGAACUGCGGUAAGCAGCAGGGUUGCGACCAAGAUGGAGACCAUUAGCCGUGACAAAGGCAGUGAAGCUGGAGCCUCGGCUGGGAGAAUGAAGGUGAAAGGCAUCAUGGAACGCUGGGAAUCUCUCAGCUCUCUUAUCUAGACUACGACGCUCAGAAAAAUAACUUGGGAUUUCACAGUUUU
Molecule: long non-coding RNA, 829 nt
Filed under: Bos taurus (domestic cattle)
Lineage: Eukaryota; Metazoa; Chordata; Mammalia; Artiodactyla; Bovidae
Description: long non-coding RNA NONBTAT010985
Source: RNAcentral